RNAcentral lists this transfer RNA (39 nucleotides) under Exanthemachrysis gayraliae. RNAcentral describes it as "partial tRNA". Lineage: Eukaryota; Haptophyta; Pavlovophyceae; Pavlovales; Pavlovaceae. The record is from RNAcentral.
CGGUAUAGCCAAGUGGUAAGGCAGAAGAUUGCAAAUCUU